CAUGACUGGGGUGAAGUCGUAACAAGGUAGCCGUAGGGGAACCUGCGGCUGGAUCACCUCCUUAAU
This 66-nucleotide ribosomal RNA is filed under the name Pseudomonas putida. RNAcentral's name for it is "partial 16S ribosomal RNA". It matches the Rfam family "Bacterial small subunit ribosomal RNA", at positions 1470 to 1533 of the family's 1533-position model. RNAcentral also lists the same sequence under 1 other name. Lineage: Bacteria; Pseudomonadati; Pseudomonadota; Gammaproteobacteria; Pseudomonadales; Pseudomonadaceae. The record is from RNAcentral.